RNAcentral lists this ribosomal RNA (261 nucleotides) under uncultured bacterium. RNAcentral's name for it is "partial small subunit ribosomal RNA". It matches the Rfam family "Bacterial small subunit ribosomal RNA", at positions 26 to 285 of the family's 1533-position model. The record is from RNAcentral.
AGAAUCAACGCUGGCGGCGUGCCUAACACAUGCAAGUCGAACGAGAAAGGGGAGCAAUCCCUGAGUAAAGUGGCGACCGGGUGAGUAACACGUGACUAACCUACCUUCGAGUGGGGGAUAACCUCGGGAAACCGGGGCUAAUACCGCAUAACAUCUUCGGGGCGGAAGAACUGAAGAUCAAAGCAGCAAUGCGCUGGAAGAGGGGGUCGCGGCUGAUUAGCUAGUUGGCGGGGUAAUGGCCCACCAAGGCGAAGAUCGGUA